GUUGCCUACGGGGCGCAGCAGUGGGGAAUAUUGGGCAAUGGGCGCAAGCCUGACCCAGCAAUGCCGCGUGAGGGAAGAAGGCCCUCGGGUUGUAAACUUCUUUUAUCAGGGACGAAGGAUGUGACGGUACCUGAUGAAUAAGCUCCGGCUAACCACGUGCCAGCAGCCGCGGUAAUACGUAGGGGGCGAGCGUUGUCCGGAAUCACUGGGCGUAAAGGGCGCGUAGGCGGUAAUAUAAGUCAGAUGUGAAAGGUGGGGGCUCAACCCCUAGAGUGCAACUGAUACUGUAUAACUUGAGUG
This 300-nucleotide ribosomal RNA is filed under the name uncultured bacterium. RNAcentral describes it as "bacterial SSU rRNA". It matches the Rfam family "Bacterial small subunit ribosomal RNA", at positions 334 to 648 of the family's 1533-position model. The record is from RNAcentral.